GGAGCGCGGCGCGGAGCCCGGCGGGGGAGCCGCGGAGCCGCUCGCCCGCCUUGCCCAAUCCUCACCAGGCACCGCCGAGCCGCUGCUCACGGACACACCUCGCUCGCUGGCUGGCGGCGGAGCGGCCGCCGGCCCGGCCCCGCGUACCUGCCCGGAGCGGCCGUGGCGAGCGGCGGGGGCGGGCACGGGCAGCCGGGCCGAGGGGCGGCCGGCAGGACGCGGGCAGCGGGCGGGGAGACUGCGCCCUCACCUCCAGGCACAUCGCUUUAAUAGCUCCAGGCACAUCACUGGGAAGGGAGAAGCUGGCGCCAAACCCAAGCCUGUCCUGCCGUAAAUUAGAAACUUGGCUCUCCCCACACACCAACAUAGGUUUUCGUCAGAAACGCAUUUUCAGUUUGUUCCAGUAUUUUAGGAUGAACUCCCCAGGAAAGAGAUUAAUGUCUUUUGUUACCAAUGUGUUGCAAGCCAUGCUUUACUGUCCUUUGUCCAUCCGAAGUUCCACAGGACACUUCCACCGUGGGAAACCCUGUUAGCUGUAACCUGGAGCUGUGGGGUCAGAGCUCAGAGGUGCUCUUGGGCUAUCUAGUGCCACUGCUUUAAAGCCGUGCUUUCUAUCUGUACUGCUCUGUCAAAGGGUAAGUGUGACAGAUAGCUCCAGUAACACCAUGUCCAUACAUUCUUCGAGAAAGCUUCAGUGGCAAAAUUUGUUUCAGAAAAAGAAUUUAUCUAGUUUUAGUUUGUUAUUUAGGUAUAUCUAAUACAGAUUUUGUGUCUCCACAAUAAUUACUGCAAAUAUAAUAAAACAAAUGUAAACAAUAUAUUCAUAUCACAUAGUUGAAGGAAAGUAGGUGAAAACCGAAGAGUCAGCCGCAUUCAAACCAACUAGGCUGGUAUCUUCUGUCUGACAAUGGCCAAUAGUAGAGAUACAGGUAAGAGGUAUGAAAACAUAUAAAUCACCAUUAAGUGAUCUUCUUUUUCUGUUUUCAGCUCCUAAAGUGCAGAGGGAAAGCUCUCAGGUGAAAUCCACUGCAAUCCUAGCAGCCACAAAUGUACCACUUCUCUAUGAAUUUGUCAAAUAGCUUUUUUGAUCUGUUGGUACACCUGGCCUCCAGGAGUGGUGGAAAGGUCUCAAAUUUACACAAAGGCUAGGCAGGAACUUUUUCUCACUGGUUUUAAAUCCAGUGCUUAAUAAUUUUACAGAGUACUUGAAUUUUUGUCAUGUAAGAAAUCAUGAAUGAUCAUGCCCUAUUUGUUUCCACCAUACCAGUAUAUAGACCUCUCAUAAUUUCAGAACCAUCCUUUUUCCUGAGCUGUGGAGCUUCGGUCUUUUACUUGUUUCCAAACGCCUUUGAAGUAGCAUUGCUCAAAGGAGCAGUCCUUCCAGUCCCUGUUGCUUUUUCCUGUCCUUUGGCCACGUCUGUUUCUUGUGCUAGCAUGCUGCAAACUCUAUCAGAAUAAUCCAACAAAAAUGAUUAAUUUUGUUCAUAUCAGUUCCCCCACUGAGCUGCUGAACAGCUGCACAAACACCAAAAGGGAGAGGCUUUCAGGGGUGACAGCGAGUAGCUGCAGGCAAAGGAGCUGGGGCCUGAUUUCAUCAGCAGAGCUGGCCAAAGUGGUUCAUGAAGCUACAGCUGGAGGCAGAGGUUUCCCAGGACUGGCUGCCACCUUCCUCCCUCUGUCAUGUGUCCCCCUGCCCAUGUCCACAGAUGUGGCUGUGUCAUUUCAGCUCAGUCACCUGGCAGGAAACUCUUCUUUUUUAGUGUAUGUGUGUGUGUGUUUUACCAGGUUACUGUGCUGAACCAGCUCAAUGACAGCAUGGAGAAGUGUGGAGUGGGAUUACAGCAGUAAAUCCAUAGUCAGCUCUGGGAUUGCAGCCUAAGCCCCUCAGACACCAUUCCCACCUUUUCAUCCUGCCCUGUACAUUUGCUAUUUAUACUUCUUUUCAGACAAUGUGGGCAAAACUACAUGCAAUAUACAAGAUAUGAUAUUAUAGCAAGUGUCCUGCUUCUUUCUUACUUCUGUUUUUUUCUUACUAUUUUCAAACAUUGCAUGGGUCACUUCUUGACCUGCUCUCUCCACAGAGCCAUGAACAAGAGGUCUGAGAUCUCUUUCCUGAGUGCAGAUUUACCAGUGAAUGCAAAGGUGAAUGAGAUUUCCUUUCAUUAGAGGCUAAAAUGGUGGCUGAAAAUGUCUUUGGGCACUACCAAAACCAAGUUGCUUACCUGGACAGUGGCACUCCCUCUGCAACAAGCGAGACAGCGAGCAAACUCCUGGGCAGAGCUGGCACUGCCAUCCACAGGCCUCCUCUUCUCAAUUGUCAUUCCUGAAAAUCUCAGCAGUAUCCCUGCGGGCAAGCAGGGAGUUCAGACCCUGUGAUGGUGUGAACAUCCCAGUGAUCUGUUUUGUCCUGCUGUUUGACUGCAAGCUUCCUCUGCGGCAAGAGGCAAGGGAGGAUGAAGAAAGAAGAGCAGCUCCAAAAUGAUGUGCUGCUGGUAGGAAAAGGAAGUCAAAUAAAGAAGGGAAUGGACUGAAACCAAAUUCCAGUAUAUUUGUUAUUUCCAAGCUCCUAAUUCAGAAAAACAGUGUUGCACAACAUUUUUUUGCUAUUUCAUCCAUGAUUGUUCUCUGAGGGAUCAACAUUACAAGACACACUCAUGUGGACAGCCUGGGCAAAUAUCUACUUAAAAAUUCCAUGAGGAUGAAGAACAAGACUUUCUGGAAAUCACUCCGUGCAAAACACUGUCCAAAUUCCAUUUGAAGAAAAAGACAUGUACACAAAUAAAACACAUGCAGAAACUUUCAGACUUCA
Molecule: long non-coding RNA, 2809 nt
Organism: Zonotrichia albicollis (white-throated sparrow)
Lineage: Eukaryota; Metazoa; Chordata; Aves; Passeriformes; Passerellidae
Source: RefSeq, a predicted model, not a curated record